RNAcentral lists this long non-coding RNA (2031 nucleotides) under Onthophagus taurus. Its description in RNAcentral is "uncharacterized LOC111418718, transcript variant X2". The record is from RNAcentral. Lineage: Eukaryota; Metazoa; Arthropoda; Insecta; Coleoptera; Scarabaeidae.
UAAAUAAAAUUAAUUAAAGCCGAUAAAGUAGAUUUCUGUUCGUUAUGUUUAUAUGUCAAAACUAAUGCAACAAUUUAUUUUUAUUUUUUGAUAAUUUAAGCGUUAAUUGCUUUUAUAAAAGAAAGAGAUGCUAGAAAGUUGUUUUAAACAGUUAGAAGAACAUGUGGGGAGUUUUAGAUAUCACCAAAAAAAAAUUUUGUGAAGUGCUGGAGUUCGUUAAAAGAUCCUCGGAUGGGUUAGAUAAAUGAGUUAAAUAUGAUUAAUAGAGAGGAGAUUUAAAAUUAAUUUGUUGCAAGUACAAAUUCUACUUCAUCGUAUUUUUAUGACAGAAUUGGGUUAGAAAUCGAACAUCUGGCGAUUUCCCGUUAUUUGCCAACUUUAAGGGUGGUAUUGAUCCUUUUUUAUCGCUUUCAAUUACGAAUAAGCGUGAUAACUCCAGUUUAAGCGUAAUAACGUUUUCGAGAUGGGGGUGAAAUAGUGACUUUCGCCGCGGUGUCUGCUUGAGCUUGAGGUGUUUAAGGGAUUCCCGAUUGUGUGAGUCACCCUAAUCCCAAUCGCAAUGAGAUGUGGAUGCUGGAGGAGGAGGAGGAGGCGAGUUUGUGUUUUAUGGGGGAGGGUGCAAUCGAAAUCGACAUAAAAUGGACCACCCCAGUUUAAAAAGGAGAAAAAUUGAGUUUCACUCAAAUCCGAAAACACAUGGCUGUAAUCGACCCGAUUGGAUUAAUAAAGGAUUCAAGUUUCGAUUUGAAUCAAAAAAAAUCACUGGAAAUCUCGUUAAAACAUACAACGAUUUUUUGUGUUUGAAAACGCGAGGCGAAUACCGUGCGGAAAAGUAUUCGAUUUGAGCCGGCGGGUUUUCUGUGUGUAUUUUCGGGUUCUGCUCUGGUUUGGAUUCGGUCGUUCGCGUUGAAAGAAGAGGGGGGCCCCGCACGCGCGCCGACUCUAAAGUGACCAAAGGAGAACGACGACACGAAAUGCUCAAAAUCGAUAACGCAAACGACGGAGACGACGCCGAUUCAAUGAUGUUGAGGACAAAGAUCAAUUUAAGAAAGAUCUUUAUCGACGUUUCUUUUGAAAUAAAUUCCGAGGAAAUCUCAUUUAAUAAUUACAAUUAUAUAAGUAAGCGAUAAGAAAGAGAUGUGGGGUUAUGUGUGUAAUAAUUUACGAGUUGAGAAACGAGAUUAGUCGUGUUGUAGUUGUCGUUAAGCGGGAUGUUGUGCAAGAAAGAAACGCGACCCUAUUAUACAAGGUUUCCGGCAAAUUACCGACCUUUUAAAACGCAACCUCCUUUUAUUAAAACCCAACCCAAUCUCCUCCUCUUUCUCGCUUUAAAAAGAGGAAAUUUAUCAUUAAACGGAAUUAAGAAAAUCAUUUUAAUUGAAGGGACUAUUUCGAUUGAUACAAUUAAGUUGGCACCCCUAAAAAUCGAAAUUCAAAUUUACUUGGUUGCUAGGUAACGCCGAUUAUAACAUAAGAAAAUGUCAAAAAUGAAAAGAAACGUUUCGUUGUACGAAUUUGGAGGUGAGAAAGGAGUUAAAGUGAAAGUUGCAGGACGAGAUCGCAUCGAAAUAAAGGGGACAAAUAUCGAGGCGGAGAUUUCACCUACUCGAGAGGCGAAAUACGAAAUUGAACCGUUAUUUCCUUUCUAAUUAAAGUGGAAAAGAAUUACCUCUUAAAACAUCGGCGGGGAUUAAUCGUUUGUAAGUUUUGGGGGCUUCGGCUUCUUUGGUUUCUUGGGCCAAAGCGAAGGCGGAGAUGAAAGUGAUUAAAAGGAGAAUCUUCAUUUUAAUUUGGACGUUUUCACUCGCACUUUUUAUAACUGACUGUCGCUUUCGCGUUUACAACCAGUCUUUUAUAGCUUUCGAAACCUCCUCGAGUGUUGUUUCGUUUAUGGUGGGGAAUUCGAGGCGUGUUGUUCUUUUUAUGGUUGCAGGAAAUCAUUUUUUUCCUAAAGAAGAUGAUAAAUAUGUAGAUGUGUUUAAAAGAAAUCAGAUUUUAUAGUUUUCGUUAAAUUCUAAGAGAUUUAGAAAG